This 74-nucleotide transfer RNA is filed under the name subsurface metagenome. RNAcentral's name for it is "tRNA-Gln". It matches the Rfam family "tRNA". From Rfam's summary of the family: Transfer RNA (tRNA) molecules are approximately 80 nucleotides in length. The record is from RNAcentral.
UUGGGGUGUAGGCAAGUGGAAAGCCAUCCGCCUUUGGAGCGGACAUUCGGAGGUUCGAAUCCUCCCACCCCAGA